AUUGAACGCUGGCGGCAGGCUUAACACAUGCAAGUCGAGCGGGGGAAGGUAGCUUGCUACCGGACCUAGCGGCGGACGGGUGAGUAAUGCUUAGGAAUCUGCCUAUUAGUGGGGGACAACAUCUCGAAAGGGAUGCUAAUACCGCAUACGUCCUACGGGAGGAAGCAGGGGAUCUUCGGACCUUGCGCUAAUAGAUGAGCCUAAGUCGGAUUAGCUAGUUGGUGGGGUAAAGGCCUACCAAGGCGACGAUCUGUAGCGGGUCUGGGAGGAUGAUCCGCCACACUGGGACUGGGACACGGCCCAGACUCCUACGGGAGGCAGCAGUGGGGAAUAUUGGACAAUGGGGGGAACCCUGAUCCAGCCAUGCCGCGUGUGUGAAGAAGGCCUUAUGGUUGUAAAGCACUUUAAGCGAGGAGGAGGCUACUCUAGUUAAUACCUAGGGAUAGUGGACGUUACUCGCAGAAUAAGCACCGGCUAACUCUGUGCCAGCCGCCGCCGUAA
Molecule: ribosomal RNA, 501 nt
Filed under: uncultured bacterium
Lineage: Bacteria
Description: partial 16S ribosomal RNA
Rfam family: Bacterial small subunit ribosomal RNA
Source: RNAcentral